UACGAAGGGGGGAAGCGUUGUUCGGAAUUACUGGGCGUAAAGGGCGCGUAGGCGGCUUAUCAAGUCAGGCGUGAAAUUCCCGGGCUCAACCUGGGGGCUGCGCUUGAUACUGAUUGGCUUGAAUGCGGGAGAGGAUAGUGGAAUUCCCAGUGUAGAGGUGAAAUUCGUAGAUAUUGGGAAGAACACCGGUGGCGAAGGCGGCUAUCUGGCCCGUAAUUGACGCUGAGGCGCGAAAGCGUGGGGAGCAAACAGG
Molecule: ribosomal RNA, 253 nt
Filed under: uncultured bacterium
Lineage: Bacteria
Description: partial 16S ribosomal RNA
Rfam family: Bacterial small subunit ribosomal RNA
Source: RNAcentral